UACGUAGGGUGCGAGCGUUAAUCGGAACUACUGGGCGUAAAGCGUGCGCAGGCGGUUCGUUAUGUCCGAUGUGAAAGCCCCGAGCUCAACUUGGGAAUGGCAUUGGAAACUGGCGGGCUGGAGUGUGGCAGAGGGGGGUGGAAUUCCACGUGUAGCAGUGAAAUGCGCAGAUAUCAGGAAGAACACCCGUGGCGAAAGCGGCUCUCUGGAACGGUACUGACGCUGAGACGCGAAAGCGUGGGGAGCGAACAGG
RNAcentral lists this ribosomal RNA (253 nucleotides) under uncultured bacterium. RNAcentral's name for it is "partial 16S ribosomal RNA". It matches the Rfam family "Bacterial small subunit ribosomal RNA", at positions 524 to 776 of the family's 1533-position model. The record is from RNAcentral.